CCUACGGGUGGCAGCAGUGGGGACUAUUGGGCCAUGGGCGAAAGCCUGACCCAGCAACGCCGCGUGAAGGAAGAAGGCUUUCGGGUUGUAAACUUCUUUUGACAGGGAAGAGCAGAAGACGGUACCUUUCGAAUAAGCCACGGCUAACUACGUGCCAGCAGCCGCGGUAAUACGUAGGUGGCAAGCGUUGUCCGGAUUUACUGGGUGUAAAGGGCGUGUAGCCGGGCAGACAAGUCAGAUGUGAAAUCCGGGGGCUCAACCCCCGAACUGCAUUUGAAACUGUUUGUCUUGUGGAUCGGAGAGGCUGGCGGGAAUCCUAGUGUAGCGGUGGAAUGCGGAGAUAUUAGGAGGAAAACCAGUGGCGAAGGCGGCCUGCUGGACGACAACUGACGGUGAGGCGCGAAAGCGUGGGGAGCAAACAGGAUUAGAUACCCUUGUAGUC
Molecule: ribosomal RNA, 442 nt
Filed under: uncultured bacterium
Lineage: Bacteria
Description: partial 16S ribosomal RNA
Rfam family: Bacterial small subunit ribosomal RNA
Source: RNAcentral